Long non-coding RNA from Labeo rohita (rohu), 516 nucleotides. RefSeq lists it as uncharacterized. Lineage: Eukaryota; Metazoa; Chordata; Actinopteri; Cypriniformes; Cyprinidae. The transcript has 2 exons. The record is from RefSeq and is a predicted model, not a curated record.
UACAGGAUAUAGGGGUAGCUGAUAUGGAGAAGAAGUAGAUUCGUUUGGUGGUGGGAACAUGUGGUUGUGUUCCCUUUGGCUUCCAAAAUUCUCGGAGUCCUGAUUGAGAAACCUUGUGUUUUUAGCUCAAUCUAAAGGACUCCUUAAAAUCUUUAAAUAUCACCAAGCUGCUUGUUUCACUGCCCUUAAAGAAGGGUAUGUGUUCAUAAUAGCAGCUAAAUAUUUAAGUGCAAAAGAACUUGGUAUGCUGGCUGGAAAAGGAGGAAAAGCCAGGAGUGGGACUGAAGCCUCAAAUCAACUUUAUUUCAACGUACUCAAUGUUUUUUUUUCUUACUGGACUAAGCCUGAAAUGUUUGGGGAAGUGCAAGUAUUAAUUUUUUACUACCUCAAAGACACUGAACUGUGUGUUAUUCAUUUUUUCUGUUGUUGUUUCGGAAAUCAAUCGUUUAAGUUUUUGGAGUUCUUGGUGGGGUAAUAAGAGAAUUUAACACUAGAAUAAACAAGGAUCACACAGAA